GACGAACGCUGGCGGCGUGCUUAACACAUGCAAGUCGAACGGAAAGGCCCCAGCUUGCUGGGGUACUCGAGUGGCGAACGGGUGAGUAACACGUGGGUGAUCUGCCCUGCACUCUGGGAUAAGCCUGGGAAACUGGGUCUAAUACCGGAUAGGACCGUGCUUUAGUGUGUGCGGUGGAAAGUUUUUCGGUGCAGGAUGAGCCCGCGGCCUAUCAGCGUGUUGGUGGGGUAAUGGCCUACCAAGGCGGCGACGGGUAGCCGGCCUGAGAGGGUGUACGGCCACAUUGGGACUGAGACACGGCCCAGACUCCUACGGGAGGCAGCAGUGGGGAAUAUUGCACAAUGGGCGCAAGCCUGAUGCAGCGACGCCGCGUGGGGGAUGACGGCCUUCGGGUUGUAAACCCCUUUCGGCAGGGACGAAGCUUUUGUGACGGUACCUGCAUAAGAAGCACCGGCUAACUACGUG
This 465-nucleotide ribosomal RNA is filed under the name uncultured bacterium. RNAcentral describes it as "partial 16S ribosomal RNA". It matches the Rfam family "Bacterial small subunit ribosomal RNA", at positions 28 to 507 of the family's 1533-position model. The record is from RNAcentral.